CCUACGGUGGGCAGCAGUGGGGAAUAUUGCACAAUGGGGGAAACCCUGAUGCAGCGACGCCGCGUGAGUGAAGAAGUAUUUCGGUACGUAAAGCUCUAUCAGCAGGGAAGAAAAUGACCGUACCUGACUCAGAAGCCCCGGCUAACUACGUGCCAGCCGCCGCGGUACUACGUAGGUGGCAACCGUUAUCCGGAUUUACUGGGUGUAAAGGGAGCUGAGACGGCCGCGCAAGUCGGGAGUGAAAACCCAUGGCGUAACCAUGGACCUGCUGUGGAAACUGUGCCGCUAGAGUGCAGGAGAGGUAAGCGGAAUUCCUAGUGUAGCGGUGAAAUGCGUAGAUAUUAGGAGGAACACCAGUGGCGAAGGCGGCUUACUGGACUGUAACUGACGUUGAGGCUCGAAAGCGUGGGGAGCAAACAGGAUUAGAUACCCUAGUAGUC
Molecule: ribosomal RNA, 440 nt
Filed under: uncultured bacterium
Lineage: Bacteria
Description: partial 16S ribosomal RNA
Rfam family: Bacterial small subunit ribosomal RNA
Source: RNAcentral